AGAGUUUGAUCCUGGCUCAGAUUGAACGCUGCGGCGUGCCUAACGCAUGCAGGUCGAGCGGUAACAGGCGUAGCAAUACGUGCUGACGAGCGGCGAACGGGUGAGCAAUGCUUCGGAAUCUGCCCAGUGAUGGGGAAUAACCAGUCGAAAGAUCGGCUAAUACCGCAUACGCCCUUCGGGGGAAAGCGGGGGAUCGCAAGACCUCGCGUCGAUGGAUGAGCCGAAGUCGGGUUAGCUAGUUGGUAGGGUAACGGCCUACCAAGGCGACGAUCCGUAGCUGGUCUGAGAGGACGACCAGCCACACUGGGACUGAGACACGGCCCAGACUCCUACGGGAGGCAGCAGUGGGGAAUAUUGGACAAUGGGGGCA
Molecule: ribosomal RNA, 370 nt
Filed under: uncultured beta proteobacterium
Lineage: Bacteria; Pseudomonadati; Pseudomonadota; Betaproteobacteria
Description: bacterial SSU rRNA
Rfam family: Bacterial small subunit ribosomal RNA
Source: RNAcentral